UUGUACCGGCAGACUGGUACGACCAGCUCCUGUGAACCUCCCCAGGUCCGGAAGGAAGCAAGGAUAAGUGGUUGUAGCGGUGCGAUAUUCAGUUUGCCUUUU
This is a non-coding RNA of Cytophaga hutchinsonii ATCC 33406, 102 nucleotides long. It matches the Rfam family "Bacteroidales small SRP". Rfam says of the family: The non-coding component of the signal recognition particle in Bacteroides Lineage: Bacteria; Pseudomonadati; Bacteroidota; Cytophagia; Cytophagales; Cytophagaceae. The record is from Rfam.